CGACGGCGACGGCGACGACGGCGGCGUGCGAGCGGGAGUGGACGACCAUGGCUGCAGCUCCUUCUUCUCUGCAAUUUUCUGGUCUUCGCACAAUGAAGAUGGAGGAGAAGCCAACGGGAGAGAGGAAGAAGAGAGAAUGAGGAGAGAGAGAGAUGGGACCAUUUUUCUUUUCUUUUUCUUUUUCUUUAAUCCCACAAAAUGGCCCACCAUGACAUCAUCAUGAUGUCAUGCUCCACUCACCCAAAACUCCCACAACCUUAUUCCAAUGGGUUCAAAUUUCAUUUUCCGCCGGGGUCCAAUUCUUGUACACUAAUUUCUCCAAUUCCAUUCAAUCCUCUUCCAAUUGAGUCCAAUUGAAGUCCAUAAAAUUAAUCCAAUGUCACCACACUUCAAUUCACAUACUCACUUGACCAUAAAACCAACUUAAGUCCCAAAAGUACG
Molecule: long non-coding RNA, 441 nt
Filed under: Eucalyptus grandis
Lineage: Eukaryota; Viridiplantae; Streptophyta; Magnoliopsida; Myrtales; Myrtaceae
Description: long non-coding RNA (EGRA_LNC007690)
Source: RNAcentral